Molecule: ribosomal RNA, 254 nt
Filed under: uncultured bacterium
Lineage: Bacteria
Description: partial 16S ribosomal RNA
Rfam family: Bacterial small subunit ribosomal RNA
Source: RNAcentral
UACGGGAGGGUGCAAGCGUUGUUCGGAAUCACUGGGCGUAAAGGGCGUGUAGGCGGUCCGCUAAGUCUGAUGUGAAAGCCCGAGGCUUACCCUCGGAAGUGCAUUGGAGACUGGCGGACUGGAGUCCCGGAGAGGAGGGUGGAAUUCCUGGUGUAGCGGUGAAAUGCGCAGAUAUCAGGAGGAACAUCAGUGGCGAAGGCGGUGGUCUGGGCCGGAACUGACGCUGUAGAGCGAAAGCGUGGGGAGCGAACAGG